AUGUGGCUAUCUGAUACACAGAUAUGUAUGACGAUUUUACUGGUCACAACCUCACAUUUUUUUCUAUUUUUAAACAAUGGAAAUUAAAUAAAUUCACACAAUAACUUUUGAAUUUACAGUAUAUUGUUUGGAUGCAGACUAUCAAAAUGCGAAAAGCAAACAAGCAAAUGCAUUAACGCCAAUAAUGGAAAAAUCUCAUGUGACUUCAAAAAAUAAAUUUACAUAUUAUUGAUGGUUAUCACUGAUUAUCUAAGAAUCGAUGAUAUCUACAUGCAAAUGUUGCAAUGCAUCAGUCUUCAUCUACUUACCAGCCUGCAUAUAAUAAUAUAAAACAACAAGAAUGUGUCCAUAGUAAACGAUGCACCACUCCCAUUAGCAUUUCUAUGUUCAGUGAACCGUGAAAUUGGGA
RNAcentral lists this long non-coding RNA (409 nucleotides) under Mytilus galloprovincialis (Mediterranean mussel). Lineage: Eukaryota; Metazoa; Mollusca; Bivalvia; Mytilida; Mytilidae. The record is from RNAcentral.